CCUACGGGAGGCAGCAGUAGGGAAUAUUGCUCAAUGGGGGAAACCCUGAAGCAGCAAAGCCGCGUGGAGGAUGAAGGUUUUCGGAUUGUUAACUCCUUUUGUUAGAGAAGAUAAUGACGGUAUCUAACGAAUAAGCACCGGCUAACUCCGUGCCAGCAGCCGCGGUAAUACGGAGGGUGCAAGCGUUACUCGGAAUCACUGGGCGUAAAGAGCGCGUAGGCGGGAUAGCAAGUCAGAUGUGAAAUCCUAUGGCUUAACCAUAGAACUGCAUUUGAAACUGUUAUUCUAGAGUAUGGGAGAGGUAGGUGGAAUGCGUGGUGUAGGGGUAAAAUCCGUAGAGAUCAAGAGGAAUACUCAUUGCGAAGGCGACCUGCUAGAACAUAACUGACGCUGAUGCGCGAAAGUGUGGGGAGCAAACAGGAUUAGAUACCCGAGUAGUC
RNAcentral lists this ribosomal RNA (440 nucleotides) under uncultured bacterium. Its description in RNAcentral is "partial 16S ribosomal RNA". It matches the Rfam family "Bacterial small subunit ribosomal RNA", at positions 338 to 795 of the family's 1533-position model. The record is from RNAcentral.